Molecule: transfer RNA, 76 nt
Filed under: Minisyncoccota bacterium
Lineage: Bacteria; Bacillati; Minisyncoccota
Description: tRNA-Cys
Rfam family: tRNA
About the family: Transfer RNA (tRNA) molecules are approximately 80 nucleotides in length. Their secondary structure includes four short double-helical elements and three loops (D, anti-codon, and T loops).
Source: RNAcentral
GAUGCGGUCGCCGAGGUGGUUCAGGCGCUUGCCCGCAAGGUAAGAGACGUAGGUUCAAGUCCUGCCCGCAUCUCCA